UGCUUCUCUAUCUUCUCCAUAUUGUCACUGUAUUGUACUGUUGUACGAUUGGUAGGGAGGAUUUCUAUCUGGAUCAAAAUCCUCUACUGUGUUAGCUUCCCACAAGUUCUGGCAGAAGGGAGAGAGAUAUAUUGGAUUCAGUGGCUAAGUUAGUUAUCAAGAAGAAGAACUUCAUCAGAGGAUGACAUCAUAGCAUGAGCACAUAGGUGCCAUAUCAGCCUAAAUUGGUUUUGCGUAUGAUGAAUGGGUGUUUUCCUUUGGCUUUGAGAACUCGAGGAUAUCAAAUGCUUGAUUUCGGAAUUGAAUUUGAGGAUUGGU
Molecule: non-coding RNA, 318 nt
Organism: Oryza sativa Japonica Group (Japanese rice)
Lineage: Eukaryota; Viridiplantae; Streptophyta; Magnoliopsida; Poales; Poaceae
Source: RefSeq, a predicted model, not a curated record